AGAACGAACGCUGGCGGCAUGCCUAAUACAUGCAAGUCGAACGAACACUUCGGUGUUAGUGGCGCACGGGUGCGUAACGCGUGGGAAUCUGCCCUUGGGUUCGGAAUAACAGUUGGAACGACUGCUAAUACCGGAUGAUAUCGAAAGAUCAAAGAUUUAUCGCCCAGGGAUGAGCCCGCGUAGGAUUAGCUAGUUGGUGAGGUAAAGGCUCACCAAGGCGACGAUCCUUAGCUGGUCUGAGAGGAUGACCAGCCACACUGGGACUGAGACACCGGCCCAGACUCCCGUACGGGGAGCGAGCAAGGUAGGGAAUAUUGGGAACAAGUGGGCGACAAGGCCUGACUCCGAAGCAAGUGCCGCGGUGAGUGAUAGAAGGUCCGUUAGGGUUAGUAAGUCUUACCGUUUACCCGGAGUAUUAGAAGUAAGUAGAACUAGGUUAAGU
RNAcentral lists this ribosomal RNA (442 nucleotides) under uncultured soil bacterium. Its description in RNAcentral is "bacterial SSU rRNA". It matches the Rfam family "Bacterial small subunit ribosomal RNA", at positions 26 to 475 of the family's 1533-position model. The record is from RNAcentral.